RNAcentral lists this ribosomal RNA (468 nucleotides) under uncultured bacterium. RNAcentral describes it as "partial 16S ribosomal RNA". It matches the Rfam family "Bacterial small subunit ribosomal RNA", at positions 28 to 507 of the family's 1533-position model. The record is from RNAcentral.
GACGAACGCUGGCGGCGUGCUUAACACAUGCAAGUCGAACGGAAAGGCCCUGCUUUUGUGGGGUACUCGAGUGGCGAACGGGUGAGUAACACGUGAGUAACCUGCCCUUGACUUUGGGAUAACUUCAGGAAACUGGGGCUAAUACCGGAUAGGAGCUCCUGCUGCAUGGUGGGGGUUGGAAAGUUUCGGCGGUUGGGGAUGGACUCGCGGCUUAUCAGCUUGUUGGUGGGGUAGUGGCUUACCAAGGCUUUGACGGGUAGCCGGCCUGAGAGGGUGACCGGCCACAUUGGGACUGAGAUACGGCCCAGACUCCUACGGGAGGCAGCAGUGGGGAAUAUUGCACAAUGGGCGGAAGCCUGAUGCAGCAACGCCGCGUGCGGGAUGAUGGCCUUCGGGUUGUAAACCGCUUUCGCCUGUGACGAAGCGUGAGUGACGGUAAUGGGUAAAGAAGCACCGGCUAACUACGUG